AAACGCGUAGCCCGUCCCUCAUCCAUCCUCUCUGCCGGAGGGAUAAGCGGACGUCGUGAAAGGCAGGGCGACAGGAUGCGGUGCCCGUCCGGUUCCUGUCCGAUUCGUGCGGGAUCGCCAGUGGUCAGUUCGUUCUGCUGCAAUCCUCUGGUUAAACUGAAUGCGGAACUAAGCAUGGUGACGUUCUCAUAGCCUCCUGUCCGGACGCGGGUUCGAUUCCCGCCGUCUCCACUA
RNAcentral lists this transfer-messenger RNA (234 nucleotides) under Calditrichota bacterium. RNAcentral describes it as "Calditrichaeota bacterium (freshwater sediment metagenome) partial transfer-messenger RNA". It matches the Rfam family "transfer-messenger RNA", at positions 127 to 374 of the family's 374-position model. Rfam says of the family: Bacterial tmRNA, also known as 10Sa RNA or SsrA, is named for its dual tRNA and mRNA-like properties. Its role is to liberate the mRNA from a stalled ribosome. Lineage: Bacteria; Pseudomonadati; Calditrichota. The record is from RNAcentral.